GAGAAGAACGUAGCGAAAUGCGAUAAGUAAUGUGAAUUGCAGAAUUCAGUGAAUCAUCGAGUCUUUGAACGCACAUUGCGCCCCCUGGUAUUCCGGGGGGCAUGCCUGUCCGAGCGUCAUUGCUGCCCUCAAGCACGGCUUGUGUGUUGGGCCUCCGUCCUCCUCCCGGGGGACGGGCCCGAAAGGCAGCGGCGGCACCGCGUCCGGUCCUCGAGCGUAUGGGGCUUCGUCACCCGCUCUUGUAGGCCCGGCCGGCGCUUGCCGACACAUCAAUCUUUUUUCCAGGUUGACCUCGGAUCAGGUAGGGAUACCCGCUGAACUUAAGCAUAUCAAUAAGCGGAGGA
This 344-nucleotide unclassified non-coding RNA is filed under the name soil metagenome. RNAcentral describes it as "partial contains 5.8S ribosomal RNA, internal transcribed spacer 2, and large subunit ribosomal RNA". The stretch from base 3 to 119 matches the Rfam family "5.8S ribosomal RNA", at positions 38 to 154 of the family's 154-position model. The record is from RNAcentral.